Molecule: long non-coding RNA, 1901 nt
Organism: Homo sapiens (human)
Lineage: Eukaryota; Metazoa; Chordata; Mammalia; Primates; Hominidae
Product: long intergenic non-protein coding RNA 2347
Source: Ensembl
ACUGUUAACAGAAGAGGCCUCCCUCCUGCAGUGGGAAUACCAGGGGUGGGCACUGUCAAGAGACCCAGCUUUGACUUCAAAUGCCACCCAGAGGGACAACUGCUCACUUUCAGAGCAGGAGCAGGAGGCCAGAGGAGAGUACCAGCUGAAACUGAUUAGAGCCAAGAUAGCCAACCAAAUGACUUCAGGAAGACCUCAGGCUUCAUUAUCAUCUCAUUUCCAUGCUAAAAAAACCCAGCUCCCUAGAACAAUGGGAAAUAUUGGGCACUUCAUCAGGCGAGUUCAGGUGCAUUUCUAGAGAUUGUCCAGGUGCUGGUAACAAUAAUAGAGAACCAUCCAUAUCCACAAGAGGCAGAACCUCUUCCAGCAAAAUGGUGCUGCCUCACCCAAAGCUCAGCUUCUACUUCCCUUCUGAGGAAGUUCAUGACAGGGAGCUGCUGCAACUGAUGUGACUUUCAACUCUAAUAUCCCGAUGAUGUAAAUGCACUGAUCAGCUCAGCAGGAUUUAAGGUCUCAUCCGCUGAGCAGUGCCUCCUCCCGAUUCAGCACGUCCCUGGUGCCGACUUUCUGCACGUGUUCACUUUGAGGCUGCAUUGUGGGCCUGCAAGAAAUGCAAAGCUGGUUGAGGCUUUAUUCAAUUCAAAUUCAAGCUGUUAAAUCGAGGCUCUCAGACUCCUGCUGCCUGGCCAGUGGAGAAAUUAACUUUCACAUAUGGCUUUGGGAUUUCUCUCUGUCAUCCUGGUCGACGUGUUCUCUCAUUUUUCUGAAGUCUGGGACCUCAACACAGACAUCUGGGUGAAGGCCUUGACAGCAGCGCUGGUGCAAAAUGAAUUGUCACAUCACACCCAACGUUCUCAACCUUUAGAAUCUGAAAGUAAGAAAAACACCUCAAACAAAACAUUAAAGAUUGAAUAAUUGAAGGCACUAUGCUUGGUGCUGAAGAAGGUCUAAGGAGGUCUACACCACAGAGGCUGCACCCACUCCUCAGCCUUGCUGAGCCACACCAUUCUCAUCUCUACAGCAUCCACCUCUCUUGGCUCUUGUAAGGAUUGAGACAUGCCACCAGGCUUACUAUUGAUUCUGAGUAAUCAGCACAGAUUUCUAAAAGAAACUUUAUGGGAUGCUGAGACAUGAAUAAAAACAACUUUAUUCCUUUGGAAAGGACAACCCACAUGCUAAGAAGAUGACACUACACGUUGUUAUAGCCCGAAAGGCCCUCUUUCCACAGGGGAGCAGUGAAAAGUAGAGGUUGCCCAUGUGGAUUCCCAAGUCAGAUAGAUGUGGAUUCAGAUCCCAGCUCUGCUGCUUGCUACCCAAGAGACCAUGGACUGUGGACUCUUUAGGUCUCAGGGUUUUUGUUUGUUGUCUGUUUUUCACUUCCAAAACCAGAAAAUGAGAAGAUAUUUUCCAUAAGAUGGCGGUGCACAUCCACUGUGGGGCUUGGCCUCAAUCCCCUAGAUGUCUUCAAUAUAAUCUUCAAUUGUCAGGAGAAGAGAACUUGAUGGACCUUGCUUGGACAAAAUGCCUUCACCGCUAACUCAGUCAGCUAUGGCGAUGGGUCAAGGACCUGGUGGUUUUACAGAGAAGACCCUUGGUCAAAUCUUUGUGAAUGAAGCAACCAUUCUGAUGUUCAAUAACAGGAAUGCACCAGUUUAUACCAAACUAUCUGUACUAUUGAGAACAGCAAAAAUAUCUGACCAAAAACACCAAAGAGUGACAUUUUAAAAGACAUCAAAGAACUCUCAAGGCUUCCAGAGUUGGAAAGAUCAAGAAAGAGAGAAUGCAACUUCAUUAAGACACAAAAAGGAACAGGAUACAGAAGUGGAGGCAGUUCAGCGAAAAAGAUGAGAAGAAGGAGAAUGUCCACAAAUAAAUUUCACUUAUAAAAGUUCAGAUAAAAA